GUGCCAGCCGCCGCGGUAAGACGUAGGAUGCAAGCGUUGUCCGGAAUUAUUGGGCGUAAAGAGUUCGUAGGCGGCAUGUCAAGUCUGGUGUUAAAGCCCGAAGCUCAACUUCGGUUCGGCAUCGGAUACUGACAAGCUAGAGUACAGAAGAGGCAAAGGGAAUUCCUAGUGUAGCGGUGAAAUGCGUAGAUAUUAGGAGGAACACCGGUGGCGUAAGCGCUUUGCUGGGCUGUAACUGACGCUGAGGAACGAAAGCCGGGGGAGCAAAUGGGAUUAGAUACCCUUGUAGUCC
This 292-nucleotide ribosomal RNA is filed under the name uncultured bacterium. RNAcentral describes it as "partial 16S ribosomal RNA". It matches the Rfam family "Bacterial small subunit ribosomal RNA", at positions 505 to 796 of the family's 1533-position model. The record is from RNAcentral.